Molecule: ribosomal RNA, 520 nt
Filed under: Megaptera novaeangliae (humpback whale)
Lineage: Eukaryota; Metazoa; Chordata; Mammalia; Artiodactyla; Balaenopteridae
Description: partial 16S ribosomal RNA
Rfam family: Bacterial large subunit ribosomal RNA
Source: RNAcentral
AACCAGUAUUAGAGGCACUGCCUGCCCGGUGACUAGUCGUUAAACGGCCGCGGUAUCCUGACCGUGCAAAGGUAGCAUAAUCACUUGUUCUCUAAUUAAGGACUUGUAUGAAUGGCCACACGAGGGUUUUACUGUCUCUUACUUUUAAUCAGUGAAAUUGACCUCUCCGUGAAGAGGCGGAGAUAACAAAAUAAGACGAGAAGACCCUAUGGAGCUUCAAUUAAUCAACCCAAUAAAUCACAACCUUAAACCACCAAGGGACAACAAAAUUUUAUGUGGGUUGACAAUUUCGGUUGGGGUGACCUCGGAGCACAAAAAACCCUCCGAGUGAUUAAAACCUAGGCCCACUAGCCAAAGUGUAAUAUCAUUUAUUGAUCCAAUCUUUUGAUCAACGGAACAAGUUACCCUAGGGAUAACAGCGCAAUCCUAUUCUAGAGUUCAUAUCGACAAUAGGGUUUACGACCUCGAUGUUGGAUCAGGACAUCCUAAUGGUGCAGCCGCUAUUAAGGGUUCGUUUGUU